UGAGGAAUAUUGGUCAAUGGAUGGAAAUCUGAACCAGCCAAGUAGCGUGCAGGAUGACGGCCCUAUGGGUUGUAAACUGCUUUUAUGUGAGAAUAAAGUUAGGUAUGUAUACUUAUUUGCAUGUAUCACAUGAAUAAGGACCGGCUAAUUCCGUGCCAGCAGCCGCGGUAAUACGGAAGGUCCAGGCGUUAUCCGGAUUUAUUGGGUUUAAAGGGUGCGUAGGCCGUUUGAUAAGCGUGCUGUGAAAUAUAGUGGCUCAACCUCUAUCGUGCAGCGCGAACUGUUGAACUUGAGUGCGUAGUAGGUAGGCGGAAUUCGUGGUGUAGCGGUGAAAUGCUUAGAUAUCACGAAGAACUCCGAUUGCGAAGGCAGCUUACCGUAACGUUACUGACGCUUAAGCACGAAGGUGCGGGUAUCGAACAGGAUUAGAUACCCUGGUAGUCCGCACAGUAAACGAUGGAUGCUCGCUGUUGGCCUUUAUGGUCAGUGGCUUAGCGAAAGCGUUAAGCAUCCCACCUGGGGAGUACGCCGGCAACGGUG
This 540-nucleotide ribosomal RNA is filed under the name uncultured bacterium. RNAcentral's name for it is "bacterial SSU rRNA". It matches the Rfam family "Bacterial small subunit ribosomal RNA", at positions 355 to 896 of the family's 1533-position model. The record is from RNAcentral.